UCCCAUGUUGUGUCCAGUUGGCAAAGUACC
RNAcentral lists this non-coding RNA (30 nucleotides) under Rattus norvegicus (Norway rat). The record is from RNAcentral. Lineage: Eukaryota; Metazoa; Chordata; Mammalia; Rodentia; Muridae.